UACAGAGGUCUCAAGCGUUGUUCGGAUUCAUUGGGCGUAAAGGGUGCGUAGGCGGCGCGGUAAGUCGGGUGUGAAAUCUCGGGGCUUAACUCCGAAACUGCAUUCGAUACUGCUGUGCUUGAGGACUGGAGAGGAGACUGGAAUUUACGGUGUAGCGGUGAAAUGCGUAGAUAUCGUAAGGAAGACCAGUGGCGAAGGCGGGUCUCUGGACAGUUCCUGACGCUGAGGCACGAAGGUCAGGGGAGCAAACGGG
This 253-nucleotide ribosomal RNA is filed under the name uncultured bacterium. RNAcentral describes it as "partial 16S ribosomal RNA". It matches the Rfam family "Bacterial small subunit ribosomal RNA", at positions 524 to 776 of the family's 1533-position model. The record is from RNAcentral.